RNAcentral lists this ribosomal RNA (1323 nucleotides) under metagenome. Its description in RNAcentral is "bacterial LSU rRNA". It matches the Rfam family "Bacterial large subunit ribosomal RNA", at positions 1561 to 2925 of the family's 2925-position model. The record is from RNAcentral.
AGUGGAUGGGGAGCAACCUAGUUGUGCGUGUGUAAAGGUAGUGCCAAGAAAAGCGAUGAUCAUGUUGAAAAUCAAUUCCCGGUACCCGAAACCGACACAGGUGGGCAAGUAGAGAAUACUAAGGGGCGCGAGGUAACUCUCUCCAAGGAACUCGGCAAAAUGACCCCGUAACUUAGGGAGAAGGGGUGCCACCGAGAGGUGGUCGCAGUGAAGAGGCCCAGGCGACUGUUUAGCAAAAACAUAGGUCUCUGCAAACUCGAAAGAGGAGGUAUAGGGGCUGACGCCUGCCCAGUGCCGGAAGGUUAAAGAAGUUGGUCAGUCUUAGGAUGAAGCUAGCGACUGAAGCCCCGGUGAACGGCGGCCGUAACUAUAACGGUCCUAAGGUAGCGAAAUUCCUUGUCGGGUAAGUUCCGACCCGCACGAAAGGCGUAACGAUCUGGGCGCUGUCUCGGAGAGAGGCUCGGCGAAAUAGGAUUGCCUGUGAAGAUACGGACUACCUGCAUUUGGACAGAAAGACCCUAUGAAGCUUUACUAUAGCUUGGAAUUGUGUUCGGGCUUCCUGUGCGCAGGAUAGGUGGGAGGCGUAGAAGGUAUUCUUGUGGGGAUACUGGAGCCAACGGUGAGAUACCACUCUCAGGAGGCUAGAAUUCUAACUUAAUUAAGGACAGUUUCAGGUGGGUAGUUUGACUGGGGCGGUCGCCUCCAAAAAGGUAACGGAGGCGUACAAAGGUUCCCUCACUGGUUGGAAAUCAGUCGAAGAGUGCAAAGGCAGAAGGGAGCUUGACUGCGAGAAGUACAGUUCGAGCAGGGUGGAAACACGGUCUUAGUGAUCCGACGGUGCUGUGUGGAAGGGCCGUCGCUCAACGGAUAAAAGUUACUCUAGGAUAACAGGCUGAUCUCCCCCAAGAGUUCACAUCGACGGGGAGGUUUGGCACCUCGAUGUCGGCUCAUCGCAACCUGGGGCGGAAGUACGUCCCAAGGGUUGGGCUGUUCGCCCAUUAAAGCGGUACGUGAGCUGGGUUCAGAACGUCGUGAGACAGUUCGGUCCAUAUCCGAUGUAGGCGUGAGAAUAUUGAGAGGAGCCUUCCUUAGUACGAGAGGACCGGGAAGGACGCACCGCUGGUGUACCUGUUAUGAUGCCAAUUGUAAACGCAGGGUAGCCAAGUGCGGAGAGGAUAACCGCUGAAAGCAUCUAAGUGGGAAGCCCACCUCAAGAUGAGUAUUCUGGUGUAAGGUCACGGGAAGACGACCCGUAAAUAGGCACGAGGUGGAAGUGCAGAGAUGUAUGAAGCCGAAGUGUACUAAUAGACCGUCGGCUUGACC